UCUUUCUUUUUAAAAAAAUCCCAAAUUAUAUCUUCUUUUAUGUCACGUUUGUCUUGCUCUCUCAGCUAUACCUUAGUGUCCAUUGAAUUUUACCUAGCACACUGACUUAGAUUUUUAAAUGUAUUUAGGCAUUUCUGUACUGAGCACAGCAAGGCUUGUAAUGCUGAACAGAGUAACACCUAAAUAUCUUUACAAAGAAAAAAAAAAAAAAGAGGGGGGCGUGAAGGGGGAGGGAGAGACAGCUGGCUGCAUGCUCCAGUUUCAUUGGUUAACCUCUCUACUAUCUGCCAGCACUUACAUAGGUUGCAUUUGGACGGACAGUGGCUGUAAACAGUGGAGAGAGUAAUGAGAUGAUCGCUUCACAAAACUGUAAAUCAGGUGGUAGUGCAGCUGGUGUUGGAUUAAUAAUGCUGUACCCCUUAGACACAAGAUGCUGGACUAGCAUAAAACCACUCUAUUUGAUUUAAGGUGGGUGUUGGUGGUGAGAAUAUAUAAAUAAAAGAGGGAAUAAUUUUAAUCUGGCAGGAUUGUGCAAGAUCAGGUGUCGGAUAUCUGCAUUUCUGCAUGAACCUUCUUGGGACAGCUCAAAGGCUCCUUUGCCAGUUCCUUCUUGCUCCUUUCCUCCUCUUGAUGCUGUUUUGUUAUAGAAGCCAAAUAUUUCCAGGAAAUUACUUUUUUGUGUAUUUGUAUAUGCAGGUUCGGGUGCAUAUUUUUCCUCUUUUGUUUGGACCUUUCCUGGAAUCCAUUUUUUUUUUUUUUUUAAUUGUAAGCUGUCUUGGCUCCAACAACAGCAGCUUCGAAGAAAUUCAGUGACGACAUAGUGUUACUGAUCAGACAGAGCCUGGACCGGAGCCACAGUGGAAAUCAUGUGCUUGGCAAGCAUACUCCCCAGGCUUUGCUUCAUGUGAUCCCAAGUGGACCAACUCAGAGGUAUUUGACCUGCCUGCUUGGAGUCUGUGGAAAACUUCUAUCAAAAACACCGUGGGAAGUCAAGUCAAUUAUGUUGUGUCACGUCUUUGCAAAUGUAUCAGCCUGACGGACAUCAAGCAGUGCAGCAUGGGGUUAAGAAUCUUGCCUGCAGGAAACCCAAUGGUAAAAAUGAAUGCUCCAGUUCUGACUGCCAUGACCCUAACUUGUCCAAGUUUGAAAUGCGAAGCACUCCUUCCCUUCUACCACAUCUGUACCCAUUGCACCUGAUUCUUACCUGAUGUUUGCCUAGGAUUUUCUCAUGGAAUAAUGAUGUGGUGGUUAAAAGCAAAUAUUUCAGUUUCAGCUUGAAAAUCAAGCCAUUAUUUAACUUUC
Molecule: long non-coding RNA, 1302 nt
Organism: Oxyura jamaicensis (ruddy duck)
Lineage: Eukaryota; Metazoa; Chordata; Aves; Anseriformes; Anatidae
Exons: 3
Source: RefSeq, a predicted model, not a curated record